This 675-nucleotide ribosomal RNA is filed under the name uncultured Actinomycetales bacterium. Its description in RNAcentral is "bacterial SSU rRNA". It matches the Rfam family "Bacterial small subunit ribosomal RNA", at positions 59 to 746 of the family's 1533-position model. Lineage: Bacteria; Bacillati; Actinomycetota; Actinomycetes; Actinomycetales. The record is from RNAcentral.
AAGUCGAACGGAAAGGCCCUGCUUGCAGGGUACUCGAGUGGCGAACGGGUGAGUAACACGUGGGUGAUCUGCCCUGCACUUCGGGAUAAGCUUGGGAAACUGGGUCUAAUACCGGAUAGGAACCAUCUUUAGUGUGGUGGUUGGAAAGUUUUUUCGGUGUAGGAUGAGCUCGCGGCCUAUCAGCUUGUUGGUGGGGUAAUGGCCUACCAAGGCGGCGACGGGUAGCCGGCCUGAGAGGGUGUACGGCCACAUUGGGACUGAGAUACGGCCCAGACUCCUACGGGAGGCAGCAGUGGGGAAUAUUGCACAAUGGGCGCAAGCCUGAUGCAGCGACGCCGCGUGGGGGAUGAAGGCCUUCGGGUUGUAAACUCCUUUCGCUAGGGACGAAGCUUUUUGGUGACGGUACCUAGAUAAGAAGCACCGGCUAACUACGUGCCAGCAGCCGCGGUAAUACGUAGGGUGCGAGCGUUGUCCGGAAUUACUGGGCGUAAAGGGCUCGUAGGUGGUUUGUCGCGUCGUCUGUGAAAUUCUGGGGCUUAACUCCGGGCGUGCAGGCGAUACGGGCAUAACUUGAGUGCUGUAGGGGUAACUGGAAUUCCUGGUGUAGCGGUGAAAUGCGCAGAUAUCAGGAGGAACACCGAUGGCGAAGGCAGGUUACUGGGCAGUUACUGACGC